GGCAGUGCAAGGUGCAAAGUUGUAUUUAAAAACGAACUCUUACAACACGUUUUUCCCAGCAGCUAAUUUGCCUUACCGGCUGCAACAUGACAGAAAGUAUAGUAACAAUAGCAGAACGGCACAAUCCUAGGCUGCAACAAAUGAGAACAAGCCCAAACACAGCAGACACAGAAACAAAGGAAGAAAAUCUACUUACUUUUGGAAGACUUCUGGCAUAGAUCUCCAACAAGAUACUCUCACCUCCACUGCCAAACCUUAAAUGAGGUCUGGGAAGGGCUGGAUCCUGGCUUCACCCCUUCCAAUCACUCACGUCCAUUGCCUGCACCUGAGCUCCCCUGGGUUGGCCCUGCCCUCCCACCAGGUGCUCCAUCACUGCUUCAGGCUGUGACUCAGUGCUUUUGCUACACCUGUGCAAUAGCAGCUAGCACUCGUGCACAGAAAUAGUCCAGGCAAGUUCUGCCUGUGGGCCAGGUUCUGGGUUACUGUUACCAUCCCAUUCCAUCACCUGGGCUACAUCACAGCUGUUCUGUGACACAUCAGCUCAAGCCUUGCUGCAGGACUGGGGAUGCAGCCAGUGGGGACACGGCUGGUUAGGAAUGCACCAGCACAGCACAGUGUUUGUUUCAACUCCUGUUUUCUUCCCACCUACAGAACGUUAUUUCUGGUCCUGCCCACCAGUCCUUGUAGCACCCCAGGAACACCCAGUCUGUAGAGCUGUGUCAUCAGGCAGAGGAUUGUCGAUGGUGGGGGUGGAGUGCAACCUCAGCAACUAGCAGGUGACACAAAGCUGGGAGGAGUGGCUGAUACGCCAGAGGGUCACACUGCCAUCCCAAGGGACCUCGACAGGCUGGAGAAAUGGACAACAGGAGCCUCACCAGCUGCAGCAAGGGGAAGUGCAAAGUCCUGCACGUGGGGAGGGGCAGCCCCAGGCUGCAUUAGGUGAAGCACUGCCAGCAGCUCAAGGUGAUCCUUCCCCCCUGCUCAGCACUGAUGUAGUCCUAAAGUACUGUUCCCAAGUACUUGUUCUGGGCUCCCCAGCACCACAGAGAUGUGGAUCUACUGCAGAGGCCAAAGCAGGACUAUUGAGAUGAUUAAAGGACUGUAGCAUCUCCUAUGAGAGGCCAAGACAGUUGAAGCUGUACAGCCUGGAGAAAAGAAGGCUCAGGGAGAUCUUAAUUUAUUUCAGUGGCUGAAUGAAGAGUGUAAAACCCCAAAAGAGUGAGGCUCUCCUCAGUGGUGGCCAGGGACAGGACAAGAGGUGAUGGGCACAAACUAAAACACAGGUGUGAUCUGAGCAUCAGAAAAUGCUUACUUUUUUUUAAUUUUUUCUUUUUUUUAAAAAACUGUACCCAAGCACUGGGUCAGGUUGCACAUAGAAGUGGGGGAAUCUCCAUCCUUGGGGAUUCAAGAGCCACCUGGACAUGGACCUGAGCAAGCAGGCCUAGGUGGCCCUGCUUGAACGGAGGGGUUGCAGGAGAUGACCUCCACAGCUCCCUUCCAACUCCAAUGAUUCUGUGAUUUUGUGUUUCUGUAAUACAAACCCAGAUAUUUGAAAAAACCAAAUUCCCCACUGAAAGCCCUUGCAGGGAAGUAAAACCCACCAGCAGGGUGCCUCUGUUACCCCCAUCUCUAGGCCCUCUGAAAAACUUACCUCCAGCUCUCAAAUUCUCACAGGGGGGGAGAGGUGAGAAAAGCAGCUCCUCACACCACACUUAUGUUUUAUUCCAAUCCUCACUGAUACCAUUU
Molecule: long non-coding RNA, 1746 nt
Organism: Phasianus colchicus (ring-necked pheasant)
Lineage: Eukaryota; Metazoa; Chordata; Aves; Galliformes; Phasianidae
Source: RefSeq, a predicted model, not a curated record